CGAAGCCUGACGGAGCAAUACCGCGUGAGGGAAGAAGGCUUUUGGGUUGUAAACCUCUUUUGUCAGGGAAGAAGAAUUGACGGUACCUGAAGAAUAAGCAUCGGCUAACUCCGUGCCAGCAGCCGCGGUAAUACGGAGGAUGCAAGCGUUAUCCGGAAUCAUUGGGCGUAAAGGGUCCGCGGGUGGCGAAUAAAGUCUGCUGUUAAAGACCGGGGCUAAACUCCGGAAAGGCAGUGGAAACUGAUUAGCUAGAGUACGGUAGGGGUAGAGGGAAUUCCCAGUGUAGCGGUGAAAUGCGUAGAUAUUGGGAAGAACACCGGUGGCGAAAGCGCUCUACUAGGCCGAAACUGACACUGAGGGACGAAAGCUAGGGUAGCGAAAGGGAUUAGAUACCCCUGUAGUCUUAGCUGUAAACGAUGGAUACUAGGCGUAGCUUGUAUCGACCCGAGCUGUGCCGAAGCUAACGCGAUAAGUAUCCCGCCUGGGGAGUACGCACGCAAGUGUGAAACUCGAAGGAAUUGACGGGGGCCCGCACAAGCGGUGGAGUAUGUGGUUUAAUUCGAUGCAACGCGAAGAACCUUACCAGGGCUUGACAUGUCGCGAAUCUGGCGGAAACGUUAGAGUGCCUUAGGGAACGCGAACACAGGUGGUGCAUGGCUGUCGUCAGCUCGUGUCGUGAGAUGUUGGGUUAAGUCCCGCAACGAGCGCAACCCUCGUCCUUAGUUGCCAAUAUUAAGUUAGGCACUCUAGGGAGACUGCCGGGGACAACUCGGAGGAAGGUGGGGAUGACGUCAAGUCAGCAUGCCCCUUACGUCCUGGGCGACACACGUACUACAAUGGUUGGGACAAAGGGCAGCAAGCUCGCGAGAGUAAGCGAAUCUCAUCAAACCCAGCCACAGUUCAGAUUGCAGGCUGCAACUCGCCUGCAUGAAGUAGGAAUCGCUAGUAAUCGCAGGUCAGCAUACUGCGGUGAAUUCGUUCCCGGGCCUUGUACACACCGCCCGUCACACCAUGGAAGCUGGCUACGCCCGAAGUCGUUACCCUAACCCGGUUUUGGGAGGGGGAUGCCGAAGGUAGAGCUAGUGACUGGGGUGAAGUCGUAACAAGGUAGCCGUACCGGAAGGUGUGGCUGGAUCACCUCCUUU
Molecule: ribosomal RNA, 1145 nt
Filed under: uncultured cyanobacterium
Lineage: Bacteria; Bacillati; Cyanobacteriota
Description: bacterial SSU rRNA
Rfam family: Bacterial small subunit ribosomal RNA
Source: RNAcentral